GACGAACGCUAGCUACAGGCUUAACACAUGCAAGUCGAGGGGAAACGACAUCGGAAGCUUGCUUUUGAUGGGCGUCGACCGGCGCACGGGUGAGUAACGCGUAUCCAACCUGCCCACCACUUGGGGAUAACCUUGCGAAAGUAAGACUAAUACCCAAUGAUAUCUCUAGACGACAUCUGAAAGGGAUUAAAGAUUUAUCGGUGAUGGAUGGGGAUGCGUCUGAUUAGCUUGUUGGCGGGUAACGGCCCACCAAGGCAACGAUCAGUAGGGGUUCUGAGAGGAAGGUCCCCCANAUUGGAACUGAGACACGGUCCAAACUCCUACGGGAGCAGCAGUGAGGAAUAUUGGUCAAUGGACGGGAUCUGAACCAGCCAAGUAGCGUGCAGGAUGACGGCCCUAUGGG
RNAcentral lists this ribosomal RNA (403 nucleotides) under uncultured bacterium. RNAcentral's name for it is "bacterial SSU rRNA". It matches the Rfam family "Bacterial small subunit ribosomal RNA", at positions 28 to 422 of the family's 1533-position model. The record is from RNAcentral.